Molecule: ribosomal RNA, 1342 nt
Filed under: Triticum aestivum (bread wheat)
Lineage: Eukaryota; Viridiplantae; Streptophyta; Magnoliopsida; Poales; Poaceae
Description: partial small subunit ribosomal RNA
Source: RNAcentral
CUCAUCCACCAAUCAUCAGUUCAUCACAGCACGAACGACAUGGCUGCUGCUCCGGUGGUUGUGCCGCGCAUGAAGCUGGGCUCGCAGGGGCUGGAGGUCUCGGCGCAGGGCCUCGGCUGCAUGGGCAUGUCCGCGGCCUACGGCGAGCGCAAGCCCGACCAGGACAUGAUCGCGCUCCUCCGCCACGCCGUCGCCGCCGGCGUCACCUUCCUCGACACCUCCGACAUCUACGGCCCCCACACCAACGAGCUCUUACUCGGCAAGGCGCUGCAGGGAGGGGUGAGGGAGCAGGUCCAAUUGGCCACGAAAUUUGGCAUCACGGCCACCUGGGAGGUCCACGGCGACCCGGCCUACGUGCGGGCGGCGUGCGAGGGCAGCCUCGCCCGGCUCGGCGUCGACUGCAUCGACCUCUACUACCAGCACCGCAUCGACAAGAAUGUCCCCGUGGAGAUCACGAUGGGUGAGAUCAAGAAGUUAGUCCAAGAAGGAAAAGUGAAAUACGUCGGGUUGUCGGAGGCCUCGGCGUCGACAAUAAGAAGGGCACACGCAGUUCAUCCCAUCACCGCCGUUCAGCUGGAGUGGUCUUUGUGGUCAAGAGAUGUCGAAGAAGAUAUAAUCCCAACUUGCAGAGAACUUGGCAUUGGAAUUGUAGCUUACAGUCCACUAGGCAGAGGUUUUCUAUCCAGUGGACCUAAACUAGUGGACACAUUACCAGAAGACGAUUUCCGCAAGAAUCUCCCAAGAUUUCAACCCGAGAACAUGAAGAAGAAUGCAGAGAUAUUCGAGCGCGUGAGCGAGAUGGCUGCGAGGAAGGGUUGCACGUCGUCUCAGCUCGCGCUGGCUUGGGUUCACCACCAGGGAAGCGAUGUGUGCCCCAUACCCGGCACGACGAAAGUUGAGAAUUUCAACCAGAACCUGAGAGCAUUGUCUGUUGAGCUCACGGCUGAGGAGAUGGCUGAGCUCGAGUCCUACGCUGCCAUGGAUGCGGUCCAAGGUGAUCGGUACCACAACACGUUCCUCAACACCUGGAAGGACUCCGAGACCCCUUCCCUGUCAUCCUGGAAAGCCACUUAGUUGGGUAUCAUGGGAAUCAAUCACUAUGCUGAUGCUUCGUAUCACUGGUUUGAAAUAGUUGCAAAUCAAAUAAUUUCACGAGCACUCCGUGCAUGGAUGGAAUCAUGGAACCACCAAUUGUUUACUAAUGUAGCACAAUUCCUGCCCAUGAGUGUUGAACUUUUUAUUAUGCCUGCAAGGAAGUAUCCCCCAAGUGUUGAACUUUUUGGCAGGGCUACAAAGGCCCUUUUGUAACACAUUUUCGUCCGGAAAACCAUUUAGAAUUCCC